This 46-nucleotide non-coding RNA is filed under the name Schistosoma mansoni. The record is from RNAcentral. Lineage: Eukaryota; Metazoa; Platyhelminthes; Trematoda; Strigeidida; Schistosomatidae.
GCACUGCUGAUGAGUCCCACAAUAGGACGAAAUGGACGUCCAGUGC